Phalaenopsis equestris is the source of this 1355-nucleotide RNA transcript. It is a transcript of the gene named small nuclear ribonucleoprotein-associated protein B', with no coding region annotated. Lineage: Eukaryota; Viridiplantae; Streptophyta; Magnoliopsida; Asparagales; Orchidaceae. The record is from RefSeq and is a predicted model, not a curated record. The transcript is spliced from 3 exons.
UCAUUAAUCCAUCGUGGACGACCACUCGGUAAUUUACUUGCAAAACCCUAGCUCACUCCGUCUCCGCAGCCCGCCUAAAACCCUAGAAUCUCAUCCACAUUCCGGCCACUCCGCGGCCAAAAUCGUUCCACGGUUCUUCCAAUCGCGGCAGCCAUGUCGAUGUCGAAGGGAUCAAAGAUGCUCCAGUACAUCAACUACCGUAUGCGGGUCACCAUCCAGGACGGCCGUAUGCUCGUCGGCAAGUUCAUGGCCUUCGAUCGCCACAUGAACCUUGUCCUUGGAGACUGUGAGGAGUUCCGCAAGCUUCCCCCGGCUAAGGGCUCUAAAAAGGGUGGCGGGGGGCUUCCUGAGGAGCGCGAGGACCGCCGCACACUUGGCCUCGUUCUUCUACGCGGUGAGGAGGUUGUAUCAAUGACUGUGGAAGGACCCCCUCCACCAGACGAAUCCCGUGCCAAGGCCUCAGCGGCUUCUGCCCUUGCAGGCCCUGGUAUUGGUCGAGCUGCUGGCCGAGGCAUUCCGACCGCUCCGCUGAUCCACGCGCAGCCUGGCCUCGCUGGACCUGUGCGUGGCAUAGGAGGGCCUUCUCCUGGCAUGAUGCAGCCUCAGAUUGCUCGACCUCCUCUGCCCCAGCUCUCCGCGCCACCUAUUUCUUAUCCACAGGUGCGGCCACCACCUGCUGGCCAGAUGCCGGGAUUCCCCGGCCAGCCUCCUCCGAUAGGGCGAGGUCCUCCACCACCGGGGCAGAUGCAGUUUCCUGGACGGCCUGGAGGGCCUCCACCCCAGUUCCCUGUGCCACCACCUCAAUUUGGGCAGAGACCACUGGGACCUCCACCACCACAGAUGAUGAGGGGGAUUCCACCACCACCGAGACCUGGGAUGCCUGCACCACCACCUCCAAGACCCGGGAUGCCGCCUCCACCUGGCGGACAGGUGCCAAUUUUUGCCCCUCCUAGACCAGGGAUACCACCUCCACCUCCAAAUCAACAACCUCCAGGUCAAAGUCAGUAGCAGCAACUGCAUUAGCUUUUGGUUUAAGAGUUGAGGAAGGGAGGACUUGUAGUUCAAGUGGGCAAGCGACUAGGUAUUGUGACUUAUGAGCAUUCUUUUUUGAGAAUGCAAGUGAGAUUGUGAGAGAGUCACUUCAAGCUAGUAUUGAGCGGAGUUGCUUCACUCCAUGAGAGAAAGGAUAUGUGCAGUUGUCUUCAGCGUUUGCUAUUGUCUUUUGGUGUUGGAAGGCCUCUUUACUUAUUUUAUUUUGAACACUGAAAUGUCUCUUAGACAUAAUAUUGUAUGCUUAGCAGUCGAAAGAUAUCAACUUUUGUAGAUUUAUUUGAAAUCUGGUCAGAUUUUUUUUU